This 378-nucleotide ribosomal RNA is filed under the name uncultured bacterium. Its description in RNAcentral is "bacterial SSU rRNA". It matches the Rfam family "Bacterial small subunit ribosomal RNA", at positions 521 to 896 of the family's 1533-position model. The record is from RNAcentral.
UAAUACGUAGGGUGCAAGCGUUGUCCGGAAUUAUUGGGCGUAAAGAGCUCGUAGGCGGUUUGUUGCGUCGGCUGUGAAAUCCCGAGGCUCAACCUCGGGUCUGCAGUCGAUACGAGCAAACUAGAGUGUUGCAGGGGAGACUGGAAUUCCUGGUGUAGCGGUGAAAUGCGCAGAUAUCAGGAGGAACACCGGUGGCGAAGGCGGGUCUCUGGGCAACAACUGACGCUGAGGAGCGAAAGCGUGGGGAGCGAACAGGAUUAGAUACCCUGGUAGUCCUAGCCGUAAACGUUGGGUGCUAGGUGUGGGCGGAUAUCAACCCCGUCCGUGCCGAAGCUAACGCAUUAAGCACCCCGCCUGGGGAGUACGGCCGCAAGGCUA